This 74-nucleotide transfer RNA is filed under the name Chitinophaga niabensis. It matches the Rfam family "tRNA". From Rfam's summary of the family: Transfer RNA (tRNA) molecules are approximately 80 nucleotides in length. Their secondary structure includes four short double-helical elements and three loops (D, anti-codon, and T loops). The record is from Rfam by way of RNAcentral. Lineage: Bacteria; Pseudomonadati; Bacteroidota; Chitinophagia; Chitinophagales; Chitinophagaceae. RNAcentral also lists the same sequence under 1 other name.
GGCUCUGUAGCUCAACUGAAUAGAGCAUCUCACUACGGAUGAGAAGGUUUCAGGUUUGAAUCCUGACAGGGUCA